RNAcentral lists this ribosomal RNA (465 nucleotides) under uncultured bacterium. RNAcentral describes it as "partial 16S ribosomal RNA". It matches the Rfam family "Bacterial small subunit ribosomal RNA", at positions 338 to 795 of the family's 1533-position model. The record is from RNAcentral.
CCUACGGGUGGCAGCAGUAGGGAAUUUUCGGCAAUGGGCGCAAGCCUGAACGAGCGAUGCCGCGUGAGUGAAGAAGGCUUUCGGGUCGUAAAGCUCUUUUCCCGGGGACAAAAGACAGCAUGAUGACAUGGGUGCUGGCUGAUGCUGCCCCCCCAGCAAGUCCCGGCGAACUACGUGGCAGCAGCCGCGGUAAUACGUAGGUGGCGAGCGUUAUCCGGAAUGAUUGGGAGUAAAGUGUGCGCAGGCGGGCCUGCACGUCUGGAGUGAAACGCAUGAGCUCAACUCGUGCGUGGCUUUUGAAACUGGAGGACUGGAGAGCAGGAGAGGGAGGUGGAAGUCCAUGUGUAGCGGUAAAAUGCGUAGAUAUAUGGAAGAACACCAGUGGCGAAGGCGGCCUCCUGGCCUGCUGCUGACGCUGAGGCACGAAAGCGUGGGGAGCAAACAGGAUUAGAUACCCGGGUAGUC